CAAUAGGCUUUUCUAGAAGCCAAUUUACCCAAGCAAAAUGCCU
Non-coding RNA from Camelus ferus (Wild Bactrian camel), 43 nucleotides. The record is from Rfam. NCBI's taxonomy places the organism in Eukaryota, Metazoa, Chordata, Mammalia, Artiodactyla, Camelidae.